Long non-coding RNA from Astatotilapia calliptera (eastern happy), 1439 nucleotides. The record is from Ensembl. NCBI's taxonomy places the organism in Eukaryota, Metazoa, Chordata, Actinopteri, Cichliformes, Cichlidae.
CGGUGUCACUGGAGGCUGGACGAGUCACUCCCACCACUCCUCCUCCGCUCUCUGCUGUCACAAAGUUUCAUUCUUCAGAGCGCCGCCUUGUCAGCAGAAGCACUCUCUGUAAAAAUGAGGAUCUGUCAGACGUCAGUGGGGCAGAUGUCACGUGUGGAGAAGACAGUGGGGCAACGCUUUAUUCUUGUGUUGAGGUGACAGGGUCCGCGGGAGUCCUCAGGUCCAGCUCCAGGCUCUCAAGAGGCGAGGCUGCCAUAUCGCACCAUCGGCCAUCACUAGUAGGCGGUAGGUGAAGAGUCUUGACCACGGACACAGCGACGGAGAGUGUCUGAGCCGGGGCUCGGACCGACAACCUUCUGAUCACAAGGCGAACUGCCAACUCUUGAGCCACGAUCGCUCUAACUAGUGACGAUAAUAAUACUUAUGUGAUGUAACACAAGCUUAUAGGGAUCAUGUUAUAUACUUUUCCAUAGCAUUACAUUUGAAUUCAACAGUUCAAUCUUUCAAAUAACGGACAGAUAUUUGUGAAAUCAUGAUACAUUUGUGAAUGUAUUUUUACAAUCUAAAUAUGCAUAUGUACAAAAAAAUUUAUUUAAAAAACAAGUAAAUUGUGUUUUAUUACAUUUACAGUGAUGUUAUGUUAUUUUACAUUUGACAUGCCAGAUCACAGUCUACUUAUGUAAAUGUAAUGAUAUUCUAGAAAAACAGUACACAACUGUAAAAUACACUGUAAAAUAAUUUGACAUUUCUAUUUUUUGGAACAGUGCAGGUAACAAAAGCUCAAUGCUGGGCCUAGCAUUCUGGAGCACUUCUGUUGUGUUUUCUUCGUGUUUUGGAGUUUUUACGUGCUUCUGAGUUUUUAUGUGUUUUGGAGUUUGUACGUGCUUCAGGGUUUGUACGUAUUGUGAAGUUUGUACGUGCUUUGUCUGUAGGGGCCACCGUAAAUAUACUUUUAUUUAUUCACUCCACAUAAAAUGUAAUAAAUAAAUCAUAUAAAACGAAAACCAACUAGUCACAGUUCAACUUUUAACUAUUUAAAUUUUCAGCUUUUUUUUUUUAAAUGAAACAACACAAAAUGCUGCAAACCACAACACAAUUAAAUAUAAAUGAAAAUAUGAAAACAAAAAGAAGAUGCACAUUCUCAGUCAUAUGGGCCUGCAUGAAUAAACUUUCUGAAUCCUGUAUCAUCCGCAACUGAAAAUAGUUGUGGACGAUUACUAUACCUUUCUAAUGUGACGUUGUUGUCCCUGGCUCUCUUUCUCUGUCUCUCUCCCUCCUGCUCUGUUCCUGUGCUACUGCGAGUGUAACUACCCCAUUUUUGCACAUGUCGAGGAGCGUGUCAGGUUACAUUUCACUGUGUGUUAUACUUGUAUAACUAUGCAUGUGACAAAUAAAGAACCUUGAACCUUGUUAACUAUUUAUUUUAAUUUCAAUUCAAG